Long non-coding RNA from Cyanistes caeruleus (blue tit), 1962 nucleotides. Lineage: Eukaryota; Metazoa; Chordata; Aves; Passeriformes; Paridae. The record is from Ensembl.
AUGCCCGAGCUGGAGCCCAGGGCGCAGCUGCGGCCCCGGAUCCGGCAGCCCCGGCGUUCCCGGCUGUUGUUGUGCCGGGGCUGUGGCACGGACGUGGGCACGGAUGCGGGCACGGGAAUGCGGACGUGGCCUGGGCAUCGUCACCGCCACGGCUCUUCCCACACAAAAUGGUUCCCGGCGUUGAUCCCGCCGGAAAAGCCGCUGAUCCGCCUACAAGCCCUUUCCUUCCCGGCAGCUCCGCGCCAAGGCGUGGGGUGUGGGUUAUGGGGCAGGUGCCACCACCCCCUGUGCCACCACGGAUGUCCCCAAGCCCUCGGGACUCCCUUGGUGCCGCGUUCCGGGAUGGCGCCGCGGCCGUGUCCAGCGGCUCCACGGUGGGAAAGUGGCUCCGGGAUUGGGGUCCCUUUCCCAAAUCGGUGUUUGGUCCCCAUUCCCACCAUCCCAGUGUCGGAUCCACCGCCUCAUCCCGGUUCCUCUGUCCUCAUCCCAAAUCUGCCGAUCCUACGGGCAGCGCCGCCAUUCCAAUACCAGCGCCGCCAUUCCAAUACCAGCGCCGCUAUUCCAAUGCCAGCGCCGCUAUUCCCAUCCCAGCGCCGCCAUUCCCAUCCCAGCGCCGCCAUUCCCAUCCCAGCGCUGCCAUUCCAAUGCCAGUUCCACCAUUCCCAUCCCAGCGCCGCCAUUCCCAUCCCAGCACCGCCAUUCCCAUCCCAGCGCUGCCUUUCCCAUCCCAGCACUGCCAUUCCAAUGCCAGCACUGCCAUUCCCAUCCCAGCACUGCCAUUCCCAUCCCGAAACCACCAUUCCCAUCCCAGCUCCACCAUUCCCAUCCCAGCUCCACCAUUCCCAUCCCAGCGCUGCCAUUCCCAUCCCAGCUCUGCCAUUCCCAUCCCAACACCACCAUUCCCAUCCCAGCCCCACCAUUCCCAUCCCAACACCACCAUUCCCAUCCCAGNNNNNNNNNNNNNNNNNNNNUCCAAUACCAGCGCCGCUAUUCCAAUGCCAGCGCCGCUAUUCCCAUCCCAGCGCCGCCAUUCCUAUCCCAGCGCCGCCAUUCCCAUCCCAGCGCUGCCAUUCCCAUUCCAGCGCCGCUAUUCCCAUUCCAGCUCCACCAUUCCCAUUCCAGCACCGCCAUUCCAAUACCAGCUCCACCAUUCCCAUCCCAGCUCCACCAUUCCCAUACCAGCUCCGCCAUUCCCAUCCCAGCUCCACCAUUCCUAUCCCAGCGCCGCCAUUCCCAUUGCAGCUCCGCCAUUCCAGUCCCGAUGCCAUCAUUCCCAUCCCGAAACCACCAUUCCCAUCCCGACACCACCGUUCCCAUCCCAGCGCCGCCAUUCCAAUCCCAGCACUGCCAUUCCAAUCCCGGUGCCACCAUUCCCAUUCCAGUGUCCCCAUUCCUUUCCCUGUGCUGCCAUUCCCAUUGCAGUGCCACCAUUCCAGUCCCGAUGCCAUCAUUCCAAUCCCAGUGCCACCAUUCCCAUCCCGAAACCACCAUUCCCAUCCCAGCACCACCAUUUCCAUUCCAGCACCCCCAUUCCCAUCUCCACCUUCCCCAAUCCCAUCCCAGCACCCCCAUUCCCAUUCCAGCUCCACCAUUCCCAUCCCAACACCACCAUUCCCAUUCCAGCUCCACCAUUCCCAUUCCAGCUCCACCAUUCCCAUCCCAUCCCAGCUCCACUAUUCCCAUCCCGACACCACCAUUCCCAUCUCAGAGCCCCCAUUCCCAUUCCAGCGCCCCCAUUCCCAUCUCCACCUUCCCCACCCCAUCUCCAUCACCCCACUCCCGGCUCCUCCUGGCUGUUUUCCCCCUUCCUAUCCCGGGAAUUUUAUAAUCCCGUCAUGCCGGACUCAGCCACAGGGAGGGAGAGCCAUUGAGCUCCAGCCGGGAUCUCUCCAGAAUUGGGAUCCAGCAUCCCAAAAUCAGGGCCUGGCUUGGGGCUUGAGGAACUUCCUGGCUGGAUUUUAA